Molecule: transfer RNA, 67 nt
Filed under: Rattus norvegicus (Norway rat)
Lineage: Eukaryota; Metazoa; Chordata; Mammalia; Rodentia; Muridae
Rfam family: tRNA
About the family: Transfer RNA (tRNA) molecules are approximately 80 nucleotides in length. Their secondary structure includes four short double-helical elements and three loops (D, anti-codon, and T loops).
Source: Rfam by way of RNAcentral
GGAUGGCUCAGUGGUUAAGAGCACUGACUGCUCUUCCAGGGGUCCUGGGUUCAAAUCCCAGCAACCA